CCCUGGCUCAGGAUGAACGCUGGCGGCGUGCCUAAUACAUGCAAGUCGAGCGAAUGGAUUAAGAGCUUGCUCUUAUGAAGUUAGCGGCGGACGGGUGAGUAACACGUGGGUAACCUACCCAUAAGACUGGGAUAACUCCGGGAAACCGGGGCUAAUACCGGAUAAUAUUUUGAACUGCAUAGUUCGAAAUUGAAAGGCGGCUUCGGCUGUCACUUAUGGAUGGACCCGCGUCGCAUUAGCUAGUUGGUGAGGUAACGGCUCACCAAGGCGACGAUGCGUAGCCGACCUGAGAGGGUGAUCGGCCACACUGGGACUGAGACACGGCCCAGACUCCUACGGGAGGCAGCAGUAGGGAAUCUUCCGCAAUGGACGAAAGUCUGACGGAGCAACGCCGCGUGAGUGAUGAAGGCUUUCGGGUCGUAAAACUCUGUUGUUAGGGAAGAACAAGUGCUAGUUGAAUAAGCUGGCACCUUGACGGUACCUAACCAGAAAGCCACGGCUAACU
RNAcentral lists this ribosomal RNA (505 nucleotides) under Bacillaceae bacterium BF.123. RNAcentral's name for it is "bacterial SSU rRNA". It matches the Rfam family "Bacterial small subunit ribosomal RNA", at positions 17 to 502 of the family's 1533-position model. The record is from RNAcentral. Lineage: Bacteria; Bacillati; Bacillota; Bacilli; Caryophanales; Bacillaceae. RNAcentral also lists the same sequence under 2 other names.